AACUCGAAGAGGGUUUUUAGUCGUUAGGCGCUCCCACCAGGAGUGAAUCCGACACUACCCCCCUUUUGGGGGGUGUCUCUAGAAGAUUUCCCCUCCUCG
This is a non-coding RNA of Agrilus planipennis (emerald ash borer), 99 nucleotides long. The record is from Rfam. Lineage: Eukaryota; Metazoa; Arthropoda; Insecta; Coleoptera; Buprestidae.